GAUGAACGCUGGCGGCGUGCCUAAUACAUGCAAGUAGAACGCUGAAGCUUGGUGCUUGCACCGAGCGGAUGAGUUGCGAACGGGUGAGUAACGCGUAGGUAACCUGCCUCUUAGCGGGGGAUAACUAUUGGAAACGAUAGCUAAUACCGCAUAAAAGUCGAUAUCGCAUGAUAAUGAUUUGAAAGGUGCAAAUGCAUCACUAAGAGAUGGACCUGCGUUGUAUUAGCUAGUUGGUGAGGUAACGGCUCACCAAGGCGACGAUACAUAGCCGACCUGAGAGGGUGAUCGGCCACACUGGGACUGAGACACGGCCCAGACUCCUACGGGAGGCAGCAGUAGGGAAUCUUCGGCAAUGGGGGCAACCCUGACCGAGCAACGCCGCGUGAGUGAAGAAGGUUUUCGGAUCGUAAAGCUCUGUUGUAAGAGAAGAACGAGUGUGAGAGUGGAAAGUUCACACUGUGACGGUAACUUACCAGAAAGGGACGGCUAACUACGUG
RNAcentral lists this ribosomal RNA (497 nucleotides) under uncultured bacterium. RNAcentral describes it as "partial 16S ribosomal RNA". It matches the Rfam family "Bacterial small subunit ribosomal RNA", at positions 28 to 507 of the family's 1533-position model. The record is from RNAcentral.